This 309-nucleotide ribosomal RNA is filed under the name uncultured eukaryote. RNAcentral's name for it is "partial 18S ribosomal RNA". It matches the Rfam family "Eukaryotic small subunit ribosomal RNA", at positions 1470 to 1796 of the family's 1831-position model. The record is from RNAcentral.
CCCUUAGAUGUUCUGGGCGGCCCGCGCACUACAAUGGCGUGUGCAGCGAGUGCCGAAGUAGAGUUUUCCGAGGUACUCUUGCAAUGCUCGUUUUGAUGGGGAUAGACCCUUGCAACUGUUGGUUUUGAACGAGGAAUUCCUUGUAAGCAUGGUUUAUCAUCCGACGCUGAAUGCGUCCCUGCCCUUUGUACACACCGCCCGUCGCUCCUACCGAUGAGUCGUCCGGUGAAGUUCGUAGACCUCGUGAUCGCGGAUCACUGGGGGAAGCAAAAUGAACCUCGCGGUUUAGAGGAAGGAGAAGUCGUAACA